RNAcentral lists this long non-coding RNA (1196 nucleotides) under Mus caroli (Ryukyu mouse). Its description in RNAcentral is "RIKEN cDNA 2310069B03 gene (MGP_CAROLIEiJ_G0006376.1)". Lineage: Eukaryota; Metazoa; Chordata; Mammalia; Rodentia; Muridae. The record is from RNAcentral.
CUCUCACUCUUCUAACCCCCACCAGUUUAGGUCCACUGGAAAGGCCACCUGAGCAGGCUCGGUGGGUCCUGCAGACUUGCAGCACAGGGUCCUCUCUUUCUCCCUUUAAAGAUAGGAUAAUCGACGGGCAUGGUGGCACACACUUUUGGUCCCAGCACUCUGGAGGCUGAAGCUGAGGAUCUAAGAAUGCUCAUAUUCAUAAGGCAGAGAGGACCCCCAACUCAAGACGCAGUACAGAAGUUGCAGUGGUUAACGUAGAAAUCGGAACUGUGUAAAGUGCAAAGACUGAGCGUCAGUGGAGUGAGUGCCCAGGCACAGAUCCGUCCUCUCUAUGGCACACACUCCCACGAGGCUUCGGGACCACAGCACACAGUGGAAGAGCGGAGGGAAAGAUUGUAAGCCAGAUGUCGGGAAAAACUGGAGUGACAUCGUCUUCCAGAUAUGGAAUAUGGUAGAAUCACCGUGCUCAUGAGCUCACAGUGCCCCGUAGUUGCCUUCACAAGACCUGUACAAGACCCAGCCUGUCAAUAAUUCCUGCAUGGAAUUUAAGGCAUUCAUGAGCCCCCGCCCCUAACUGAGGAGCUGUGGACAGUUAAUAGCUUAUGUGUGUGUGUGUGGGGGGGGGUUCUUUAAGGGUGUGGUUUCCCAGUUGGUUGACCAUGCUCCAGUGGGUAGCCCCACACCCAGAAGUAUGUGGGCAGCACAAAUUGGACCCCAUGGAUUAUUUAAAAACCACAGAAGACAGGGAGUAUAUGGGUUAACCUGAGAGGGGUAGGGAGAAGAGUGGAAAGUGGAUAUGACCAAAAUAUUCUGUAUAAAACUGUCAAGGAAUUAAUUAUAUAUCUAUAUCCCUGUAUAAAGGAAUCUUUAUCUAUAUCCAUGUCCAUGUCCAUAUCUAUAUAAAGGAAUAGUCCAGGUGGAGGAGGUGGCUCCUUGCUUAAGCUUGCACUGCAGUCGCCCCAGGCCGUUCACAAUUGCCUGUGACUUCAGCUACAGAGGAUUUGACAUCCUCUUCUGCUCUCUCUGUGGGCAUUUACAUGCAUGUACACACACAGAGACACACAUGUAUGUACUCAUUUUUAAAAACAUUUUUAAAAGGAAUCAUCUGAAUUAUAAGCCUUGAGAAGGUAAGGGCCACCAUGUUCACGUAAUCCCAGAUAUAUCAAUAACAUGAUCAAUCAAAAGUUGUUUAAUAG